RNAcentral lists this long non-coding RNA (1299 nucleotides) under Callithrix jacchus (white-tufted-ear marmoset). RNAcentral's name for it is "lncRNA (ENSCJAG00000083128.1)". The record is from RNAcentral. Lineage: Eukaryota; Metazoa; Chordata; Mammalia; Primates; Cebidae.
CGACCGGGUCGGUCCGUCGCCAUUUUGUUGGUUGGUUUUUUUUUAAACCCUUUCGCUUCCCGCCCGAAUAAUAAUAAAAAGCCCCAUUGGAGUGAGGCGGGGGUGGCGGCGGCAAUCGCGGCGGGGGUAUCCGGGGAGACUGCUGCCGUCGCUGCUGCUGAUCGUGGCCCAGGUCGGGCUCAGGGAGCGGACACCCCGAGAGGGGGGUGCGGGCGCCGCCGCCGCCGCUUCUGCUGCUGCUGUUCCUGCUGCUGCUGUUGGUGCCGCUGCCGCCGCCGGCGAGCGGGCGGGACCGGUGUGAGUGCGAGUGUGUGUGCGAGGGAGCGUGUGCGAGAGCGAGUGUGCGCGCGGGUGUGCGGGUGUGUGCGAGUGUCUGUCUGUCUGUGCGGGGACUCGGGGGCGGGCGGUUCGGGCUCUCCUGGCGGAGGAGCCGCCGCCGCCGCCCGGGCCCCGGCGCUUCUCGCUGCGCAGGUUCGGAGCGCGCGCCAUUUUGUGAGAUUUACAAAAUCCUCUUCGGGAAGAAGCCGCCUGCAGCAGCCGCCGUUCGGCGCCCGGCCUCGUCGCCGCCGCCCUCCACGCCGGGCCGGGCCGCGCGGCCCCGCCGCCGGGACUCGGGGCCCGGGGACUGCGGUAUUUGCCGGGGAGGGGGCUGUCGCCUCCCCGGCCCCGGGCGCCGUUGGAACCGCGAGCCGAGGAGAGACUGAGCAGGCUGCGGCGCGGCCAGAAGCCGGAGCGCCGGGGGCGGAGAGAGGCGGCCGGGGCGGCGCUGGCUGCGGAGGCCGCGGCGGGAGCGGGAGCGCGGCGCGGGAGCCCGAGGCUGAGACUCACCGGAGGAAGCGGCGCGAGCGCCCCGCCAUCGUCCCGGUGAGUGUCCGGCCCGGCCGCGGCCCCGCCCGGCCCGGCGCGCGGCUCCUCCGGCGGCCCGCAGCCGGGUCCGCGCCGAGGCCGGCCGGGCGGAGGGAGGGACCUGCCAUUUUAGGAGGAGGCGCCGCGGGCCCGGGGCUGGCUGCCGAGGGAGGGAGCCCCAGGCCCGGUCCCGGAGGAGCGGCGGGCGAGAGCGGAGGGAAAGUUGCGGAGGGUGGGAGCGGGGGCCGCGGCCUCCGGGGAGCCGGGGCUUGGGGGGCCGCAGACAGCGCCAGACCUUCUCUGGCCGCCCCAGCGAAGGGGUGGAGGUUGUCUUCCUCCUCCUCCUCCUCUUCCUCCUCAUCCUCUUCCCCCAGCUCCUCCCUCGUCCCUCCUCUCGGUCCCCACCAGUGUGGGAACCGCCGGGGUGCUUCGCAAGGACAAUGCACGGGUUAA